CAGGAACUAGGCACACAAAGAAAACAACAGGGCUGUUAAUGCUCAGUUCAACGCAUUAGUCACCAGGGCCAGAAAAGGCAACAAACAAAUAAGACUAAUUCCUCAGCUGGGAUCAUGUAGAGCCCCUUGAAGCUGCAUUGAAACAAUUUGGACCUAUAUGGAGAAAAAUCCUGUAAUGUUUUCCUCAAAAACCUUAAUUUCUUGAAGAUAGAACGACAUGAACAUUUUGGAUGACAGGGGUUUCAUCAACAUCACGUACAUCAUUUCCGGCUGGGAUGAUGGCCAACCGCAGCGUGUCGCUUUAAACAGGGACGCGAAGUGACAGUGCUGCAAAAGCCAAAGAAAACAACAGAUGUGGAUCGAAG
Long non-coding RNA from Labeo rohita (rohu), 365 nucleotides. RefSeq lists it as uncharacterized. The record is from RefSeq and is a predicted model, not a curated record. NCBI's taxonomy places the organism in Eukaryota, Metazoa, Chordata, Actinopteri, Cypriniformes, Cyprinidae. The transcript has 3 exons.